UAGUCCACGCCGUAAACUAUGGAUACUAGGUGCUUGGGGAGUUAACCCCCUGAGUACUACAGCUAACGCAUUAAGUAUCCCGCCUGGGGAGUACGGUCGCAAGGCUAAAACUCAAAGGAAUUGACGGGGGCCCGCACAAGCGGUGGAGUAUGUGGUUUAAUUCGAAGCAACGCGCAGAACCUUACCUACCCUUAGCAUCCCAGGACAACCUCAGAGAUGAGGCUUUCCCUUCGGGGACUUGGUGAUAGGUGCUGCAUGGCUGUCGUCAGCUCGUGUCGUAAGAUGUUUGGUUAAGUCCAAUAACGAGCGCAACCCCUAUCUUUAGUUACCAGCAUUAAGUUGGGGACUCUAGAGAGACUGCCGGUGUUAAACCGGAGGAAGGCGGGGAUGACGUCAAGUCCUCAUGGCCCUUACGGGUAGGGCUACACACGUACUACAAUGGCAGAAACAGACCGUUUGCUAAGCCGCGAGGUGGAGCUAAUCGGUAAAACACUGUCUCAGUUCGGAUUGGAGUCUGCAACUCGACUCCA
RNAcentral lists this ribosomal RNA (530 nucleotides) under uncultured bacterium. RNAcentral describes it as "bacterial SSU rRNA". It matches the Rfam family "Bacterial small subunit ribosomal RNA", at positions 791 to 1320 of the family's 1533-position model. The record is from RNAcentral.